AGAAAGAAAUUCUAUGUGAUUUCAGGAAUCUGAAAGGGCUGUAAGUAGAGAAGAGGGGCUUGCUCUUGCAAAAGAUCUUGGAUGUUUGUUUCUUGAAUGUAGCGCUAAAACUAGAGAAAAUGUGGAGCAAUGCUUCGAAGAGCUAGCAUUAAAGAUAAUGGAAGUUCCUAGUCUCCUGGAAGAAGGUUCAACUGCAGCAAAGAGAAAUAUUUUGAAGCAGAAACAGGAAAAUCAAGCACCUCCUAGCAGCGGUUGUUGUUCGUAAAAUGCCGCCAUUUGCAUUGCACCUUAUAUGAAGCUUGACUCACAUCAUGAACAGAUCAUGUAUAUGUAAUUUCCAUUUUUUUUCCUCUUACUGCUGGUGUCUAGUUAUUGAGUUGCAUAAUUGUUUGUUUCAUUUAAAAUAGACAAAUUGCCACUCAAAUAGCAUUCAUAUUAGCUUGUGUAAAUGUGCUUUCCCUGUUUUUCAGCCAUGUUAUGAAACCAGAAUUGCUUGUAUUUUUCACAUAAGAAAAAAAAAAAAUUACAUGA
Prunus avium (sweet cherry) is the source of this 531-nucleotide non-coding RNA. NCBI's taxonomy places the organism in Eukaryota, Viridiplantae, Streptophyta, Magnoliopsida, Rosales, Rosaceae. The record is from RefSeq and is a predicted model, not a curated record.